CCUCACUGCUAUCGGGGUGGGACUUAGACAUGCGAGUCGAACGCUUCGCAGCUAUGAGUGAAGCGUGGCGAACGGCUCAGUAACACGUGGCUAACCUACCCUUGAGACGGAGACAACCCCGGGAAACUGGGGCUAAUCCCAGAUAGACGAGAACUCCUGGAAUGGGUUUUCGUCCAAAAGGCGUUAGGGUCAUGCUUCUUAACGUCGCUCAAGGAUGGGGCCGCGGCCGAUCAGGCUGUUGGUGAGGCAACGGCUCACCAAACCUAUAACCGGUACGGGCCGUGGGAGCGGGAGCCCGGAGAUGGGAACUGAGACAAGGUCCCAGGCCCUACGGGGCGCAGCAGUUACGAAAACUUGUCACUGCACGAAAGUGCGAACGGGCUACCCCGAGUGCCGUCCGCUGAGGAUGGCUUUUCUCUGCUGUAAGAAGGCGGAGGAAUAAGGAGAGGGCAAGUCUGGUGUCAGCCGCCGCGGUAAUACCAGCUCUCCGAGUGGUGGGGAUGUUUAUUGGGCUUAAAGCGUCCGUAGCUGGCCUUUCAAGUCUUUCGUUAAAUCCAGCGAUUCAAUCGUUGGACUGCGGGAGAUACUGUUUGGCUAGGGGGCGGGAGAAGCCGACGGUAUUUUCGGGGUAGGGGUAAAAUCCUAUAAUCCCGGGAAGACCACCAGUGGCGAAGGCGGUCGGCUAGCACGCGCUCGACGGUGAGGGACGAAAGCUGGGGGAGCGAACCGGAUUAGAUACCCGGGUAGUCCCAGCUGUAAACGAUGCGGGCUAGGUGUUGGAGCGGCUACGAGCCGCUUCAGUGCCGCAGGGAAGCCAUUAAGCUCGCCGCCUGGGGAGUACGGCCGCAAGGCUGAAACUUAA
Molecule: ribosomal RNA, 862 nt
Filed under: uncultured archaeon
Lineage: Archaea
Description: bacterial SSU rRNA
Rfam family: Archaeal small subunit ribosomal RNA
Source: RNAcentral